Molecule: long non-coding RNA, 165 nt
Organism: Neogale vison (American mink)
Lineage: Eukaryota; Metazoa; Chordata; Mammalia; Carnivora; Mustelidae
Exons: 3
Source: RefSeq, a predicted model, not a curated record
GGCCCAGUGUUUGCUGCAGAAGCUGGAACAAGACUGCUUGUAAAGAAUAGACUCCCAGGUCACAAUAUAAACAGCUGACAAUCUAUGGAAAAUGGAUAAGAACAAGGAAUAACCUUAGGAGAGUUCAAGUUGAUACCAGGAGAAAAGAGAGAGAGAGAGCAUGAG